RNAcentral lists this ribosomal RNA (1243 nucleotides) under metagenome. RNAcentral describes it as "bacterial LSU rRNA". It matches the Rfam family "Bacterial large subunit ribosomal RNA", at positions 1564 to 2818 of the family's 2925-position model. The record is from RNAcentral.
UGAGUACGAGAUGCUACGGCGUCGAAGCAGUCUAGGUCAUACUUCCAAGAAAAGCUUGCACUGUCAUAAACAAAGAAUGCCUGUACCAUAACCGACACAGGUGGGUAGGUAGAGUAUACUAAGGGGCGCGAGAUAACUCUCUCUAAGGAACUCGGCAAAAUGACUCCGUAACUUCGGGAGAAGGAGUGCCUUAUUUUUAAGGUUGCAAUAACAAGAUCCAAGCAACGGUUUACCAAAAACACAGGUCUCCGCUAAGUCGUAAGACGAUGUAUGGGGGCUGACGCCUGCCCAGUGCCAGAAGGUUAAAGAAGUUGGUUAGCAUUUGCGAAGCUGAUAACUGAAGCCCUGGUGAACGGCGGCCGUAACAAUAACGGUCCUAAGGUAGCGAAAUUCCUUGUCGGGUAAGUUCCGACCCUCACGAAAGGCGUAAUGAUUUGGAUACUGUCUCGGAGAGGGGCUCGGUGAAAUAGACUUGUCUGUGAAGAUGCGGACUACCUGCACCUGGACAGAAAGACCCUAUGAAGCUUUACUGUAACUUGAGAUUGAAAUUGGACUUUAUUUGCGCAGUAUAGGUGGGAGGCGUUGAGAAUAAUCUUGCGGGAUUAUCGGAGCCAUCAGUGAGAUACCACUCUUGUAAUGUUAGAUUUCUAACUUUGUAUCAUUACCUGGUCAAAGAACAGUUUCAGGCGGGCAGUUUGACUGGGGCGGUCGCCUCCCAAAGGGUAACGGAGGCGCACAAAGGUUUCCUCUGAACGGGUAGAAAUCGUAUCUAGAGUGUAAAGGCAUAAGGAAGCUUGACUGUGAGACCUACAAGUCGAGCAGGGACGAAAGUCGGUCUUAGUGAUCUGACGGUGCUGAGUGGAAAGGCCGUCACUCAACGGAUAAAAGUUACUCUAGGAUAACAGGCUGAUCUCCCCCAAGAGUUCACAUCGACGGGGAGGUUUGGCACCUCGAUGUCGGCUCAUCGCAUCCUGGGGCGGUAGUACGUCCCAAGGGUUGGGCUGUUCGCCCAUGAAAGCGGUACGCGAGCUGGGUUCAGAACGUCGUGAGACGGUUCGGUCCAUAUCCGGUGUAGGCGUUAAAUAUUGAAAGGAGCCUUCUCUAGUACGAGAGGACCGAGAAGGACAUACCUCUGGUGUGCCAGUUAUCGUGCCAACGGUAAACGCUGGGUAGCUAUGUAUGGAGUGGAUAACCGCUGAAAGCAUCUAAGUGGGAAGCCCACCUUAAGAUAAGCAUUCUCACC